UGACAGGAUGAAUGAACAGAAGUAAUACAGGGCAAGACAAGCUGCUCAAAAGGGAGGAGGAGGAAAACAGCAUAGAGAAUCUAAUUUCACAGCACCACCUGCUACAUCUUAUGUGCUGGCACUACUUUAGCAAAAUGAGUCUUGUAUCUCAUCUCUGGCUGAAUCACGGAAAUUACCGACUUUAGAUCAUUGCAAUCUCUUCCACCAUAAUGAAAAGAAAACAGGCAGAGAUACAGUCAUUGUUUCAGACUAUGAGAACUGGAUCCUUCAUCUACUUCAAGCUCCUCUCUAGCCCAGAAGAGAUGUCCUUAAUCCUGGUGUCAGGGAAGCCUGUUAAAAAUGAAAAGAAGCAUCUACUUGAAGGACAGCUAAAACAGUCCCAGCAAUAAAGGAGUGCCUUAAUGCCCAAGAGUCAGCCAGGCCCACAGUCACCAGAAGCUGUACUACAUGGGUAGAUGAUACAGAUGUGAAAGGAACUACCGUACCUGACAAUGUUACAGAGCCUGAAACCCCAGCUGAACAAAGUAGAUACACGAACAGCAAUGAUCUCAAUCUCUUGGGUGUCUUGUCUGAGGAUGAUAUUUCAUUCUGAAUAGGGAAAGUUCCCUUGGAGUGUUAACAUUGGAAUGAACAAUUUAAGAAAUCACUGCAGUCAUUCAAAAAACAAAUUAGAUAUUGUUCAAAGGUUCUGUUUCAUUCAACUAAAGUUAAUAGUGAAAAAUACAAUUGGGAGCAGCCAGUUAUGCCUACUGUUUGGUCCGUAAACUCUUCUCAACUUCAUCCACAGCACCAGCUAGAAAUCGGUUUAAGGAUCGGGAAAUCCUGUUGGAAUUCAAGAUCAGGAGAACAGCAAGGGUCAUUGGAAAGGUUUACUUACAGAUUUGAUGGCAGUUAACUUUGAAGAAAAAGAAGCAAGAGUACUGGAGGCCCAUGCAAUCGCAGUCAUGUGCACUCCACCGGAACAUUGUCUCACUGAAAAGCAAGCCUAUGUAAAGUUUGAUGUGCCA
Long non-coding RNA from Stegostoma tigrinum, 1007 nucleotides. RefSeq lists it as uncharacterized. Lineage: Eukaryota; Metazoa; Chordata; Chondrichthyes; Orectolobiformes; Stegostomatidae. The record is from RefSeq and is a predicted model, not a curated record. The transcript has 3 exons.